RNAcentral lists this ribosomal RNA (253 nucleotides) under uncultured bacterium. Its description in RNAcentral is "partial 16S ribosomal RNA". It matches the Rfam family "Bacterial small subunit ribosomal RNA", at positions 524 to 776 of the family's 1533-position model. The record is from RNAcentral.
GACGGAAGGUGCAAGCGUUGCUCGGAAUCACUGGGCGUAAAGGGUGCGUAGGCGGCCGCGCAAGUCUGGCGUGAAAGCCCCGGGCUCAGCCCGGGAAGGGCGCUCGAAACGGCGCGGCUCGAGUGCCGGAGGGGAGAGUGGAAUUCCGGGUGUAGUGGUGGAAUGCGUAGAGAUCCGGAGGAACACCAGCGGCGAAGGCGGCAUCCUGGACUGGUCCUGACACUCAUGAGCGAAAGCGUGGGGAGCGAUCCGG